UACGAGAAGGAUUGAGAGCUCCACCACCCUACAAUGACAGCUUGAUUCAAUCAUGGGUGACAAUCAGACCAGCUUCUCCGUCACGCUGAUAUUUCUGAAUGAGAAUGAUAUAAACCAGGAUCUGAUUUCAACACAGAAUCAACAUCAGGAACUUACACUUAAAGUCCACAGAGAGUUGGAGGACAUCUCUUUCACCAUUAAUGAUGGUGAUGGGGUUUGUGUUUUUAAAUUCUCCAUCACAAGGGAGACCGAGUGUUGUCGUAUGGCCAGCCGUUCAUUCCUCAUAACGCUGGGUUGUUUCAGUAUUGUCCUCCGAUUCACCACUCAGUCAGAGUUUCAGAUGUUUCACACAAUGCUGAGCUUGUGGAACGACCCCAGGAGAAAUCAGUCUGUGUUUCACCAGCGGACAGAUGAUUCAUCUGCACUACAGUACUUCCAGUUCUAUGGCUGUCUGUCACAGCAGCAGAACAUGCUACAGGAUUAUCUCAGAAUUGCAACAUACCAAAAAGCCAUUUUGCUCAAUGAUGUUGACUUCAAAGAUAAAGUGGUUCUUGAUGUUGGCUGUGGAACAGGGAUAUUGUCUUUCUUUGCCGUUCAGGCAGGAGCUAAGAAAGUGUACGCGGUGGAGGCCAGUUCUGUAGCCAAAUAUGCUGAAAUUCUUGUGAAAAGCAAUAACAUGUCGGAUAGAAUCACAGUUCUGUCAGGGAAGAUUGAGGAGGUUUCCUGUCCAGAGAAAGUGGAUGUGAUCAUCUCAGAGCCCAUGGGCUACAUGCUUCUCAACGACAGGAUGUUAGAGAGCUAUCUACACGCCAAACACUGGUUAAAACCCACAGGAACGAUGUUCCCUACCAGCAGUGACAUCCAUCUGGCUCCAUUCAGUGAUGAACAGCUUUACAUGGAGCAUCACGCCCGCUCCAGCUUCUGGAAUCAGAGCUGUUUCUAUGGUAUGAACUUGAGUGGACUUCACUCUUCUGCUGUGGAUGAGUUCUUCAAACAGCCGAUAGUUGACACAUUUGAUAUUCAGAUUCUCAUGGCCAGGUCUGUGAAAUACAGUAUCAACUUUCUGGAGGCAAAAGAGGAAGAUUUACACUGGAUAGAAAUUCCCUUUGUGUUCAAAAUGCGGCAGUCCGGACUGAUUCAUGGACUUGUAUUCUGGUUUGAUGUGGCAUUUGUUGGCUCAAGAAUGACAGUAUGGCUGUCCACUGCACCUAAUGAACCUCUGACUCAUUGGUAUCAGGUGCGCUGUCUUCUGCAAACGCCCCUGUUUGCCAAAAAAGGACAGACAUUAUCUGGACAUGUCCAACUGAUAGCCAACAAGAGACAGAGCUAUGACAUUCACAUAAGCGCUGUGGUUGAUCAGUCUGGAUUUAAAUCUGGGAACACACUGGAUUUGAAAAAUCUUUUUUUCCGGGUGCCUGCUUGGCUGCAGAUGUAACAGGAAAAGGAAGUAAAGUGUAGUCAGAGCCACAAACACUGGAAACAAGACAUCCUUGGACUAUAGGCUUGGUAUGCCUGAAUCAUCGUUAUCAGCAUUAUUCAGAUCAACAAGACCUAAAUGAAGACUGCAGGACUAUCACUCACAAUUACAUAUGACACGUCAUAAAAAAUGACAUUAUUACUACAAGGAUUAUUUAGGAAGGGUCUGUGUGCUUGGAACAUUGCAAUUGCUUGUUAAUAAAAAAGUGAAUAGAGCAUAUUUUCUUCAAAUUAUUUAUUUGACGGUACCACUCAUUAAACUCUUUUUUUAAAUAACAGCCUGGAAACACUUUACAUUAUAUUCCUU
This is an RNA transcript of Myxocyprinus asiaticus (Chinese sucker), 1783 nucleotides long. It is a transcript of the gene named coactivator-associated arginine methyltransferase 1, like, with no coding region annotated. The record is from RefSeq and is a predicted model, not a curated record. The transcript is spliced from 14 exons. NCBI's taxonomy places the organism in Eukaryota, Metazoa, Chordata, Actinopteri, Cypriniformes, Catostomidae.